Long non-coding RNA from Felis catus (domestic cat), 1068 nucleotides. RefSeq lists it as uncharacterized. NCBI's taxonomy places the organism in Eukaryota, Metazoa, Chordata, Mammalia, Carnivora, Felidae. The transcript has 3 exons. The record is from RefSeq and is a predicted model, not a curated record.
UCCAGGCUGUGUACUGAUCUCCUAAAUCCAGGAGGGGUGGGACCCUUUGGAGAACACAGUUCUGCAAACCCGGCAUGGAGAAAGGGCUGAGGGUGGAAGGACAGGAGCCUAGGAUCCGGGCUCCAGUCCUGCCUUUUGGACAGGCCAUUUCCUAAGCCUCCCUCAUCCUCAGUGUCCUCUGUAAAAACUGCCUGCAUUGCUUUCUAACAGCUAUCGCAAGGACCGACCCAUAGUUUCUAUCGCUUAUUUUGUGCCUAGUAAGUGCCACAGUGUAGAAAGCGUAUUACCUCUAAUACCUCGUUUAAUCUUCACAGCAUCCCUAUGAGGAAAGGCGGUCUAAUUAUUCCCGUUUUUGGGGGUGAGGAAACUGAGGCACGAAGAGGUGAAAUCCAUUGCCCAAGGUCACCUAACUCAGCCACGCUUCAAGCCCAGGCAGCCUGAACACAACUUAACCAAAAUCUGUUUUAACUCAGACCCUACUAGUCAUCCACCCUGCUCUGGGUCCUAGUGAGGAAAGUGAGGCUUGUGGAACAGAAGGGGACCAGAUCCCCUGGCUCCCCGCCGGUAGUUCUUCUCACCACCCUGGGUGCCACUGCCCACCAUGGAUGGGACUCCUUCAGCUAACUCAGGGGAAUGAGCGCGCACCGCAGGCACGCCCGCCGCCAAAAACCAACUUCCCCCGGGCGCGCGGAGGCAGCCGGGGCCACCCCCGGGCCGGGUCGCUUACCUGUCGCGGAGCGGGUCCGGGUGACAGAGGGGAGAAGCGCGGAGACCGAAAGCAGCAACAGCAGGGGCCACCACCGUCCGUUCCUCCUGCAAGAAGUGGGGGCGAGAAGCCCAGGGAGGCUGGAGUCACUGUGAUUUCCUUAAAUGACAAAUGAAGAAACUGAGGCUCAGAGAGGCCGGGAGAAUAUACAAGGGCACACAGAAGGACUGAGCUCCUAACUGCUGUGCCUACCCUGCACGCCUGACACACGAACCCCACGUGAAUGCCCAGAAAUGGCCCCGUGAUAUAUACAAAUCCAUGCCGCAAAGAUAACCCUAAUAAAAAAUUGAACGUAUCUGAUA